GAUGAACGCUGGCGGCGUGCCUAAUACAUGCAAGUCGAGCGAACGGACGAGAAGCUUGCUUCUCUGAUGUUAGCGGCGGACGGGUGAGUAACACGUGGAUAACCUACCUAUAAGACUGGGAUAACUUCGGGAAACCGGAGCUAAUACCGGAUAAUAUUUUGAACCGCAUGGUUCAAAAGUAAAAGACGGUCUUGCUGUCACUUAUAGAUGGAUCCGCGCUGCAUUAGCUAGUUGGUAAGGUAACGGCUUACCAAGGCAACGAUGCAUAGCCGACCUGAGAGGGUGAUCGGCCACACUGGAACUGAGACACGGUCCAGACUCCUACGGGAGGCAGCGGUAGGGAAUCUUCCGCAAUGGGCUAAAGCCUGACGGAGCAACGCCGCGUGAGUGAUGAAGGUCUUCGGAUCGUAAAACUCUGUUAUUAGGGAAGAACAUAUGUGUAAGUAACUGUGCACAUCUUGACGGUACCUAAUCAGAAAGCCACGGCUAACUACGUG
RNAcentral lists this ribosomal RNA (497 nucleotides) under uncultured bacterium. RNAcentral describes it as "partial 16S ribosomal RNA". It matches the Rfam family "Bacterial small subunit ribosomal RNA", at positions 28 to 507 of the family's 1533-position model. The record is from RNAcentral.